This 84-nucleotide transfer RNA is filed under the name Synechococcus phage S-PM2. Its description in RNAcentral is "tRNA-Leu". The record is from RNAcentral. Lineage: Duplodnaviria; Heunggongvirae; Uroviricota; Caudoviricetes; Pantevenvirales; Kyanoviridae.
UGUGACUUCGACAAUAAAGUUGAUGGUAUUAAGAAAGGAGAGAUUGGAUGGGAUGAAGCAUGGGAACUUUCUGACAUCCGUGAA